This 1232-nucleotide long non-coding RNA is filed under the name Sus scrofa (pig). RNAcentral describes it as "lncRNA (ENSSSCG00035017980.1)". The record is from RNAcentral. Lineage: Eukaryota; Metazoa; Chordata; Mammalia; Artiodactyla; Suidae.
AACUGCUGACAUUCACUGUGUCCAUCACCUGCCAGGACCAGGUCAGGUCCUUUGCGGGCAUCAUCUCUGCCCCUCUAACCUCCACCACUGACCUCUGAGUAACUGGCCACUAGGCCCUGUUUCCUACACGAAGAAGCCAAAGGAAGCGUGAAAAAGUUAAGGAAGCGGUCCAAGGCCCGUAGCUAGGAUGUUGUCAUGAUCUGUCUUUUAUUAAAGCCCACGCUCUAAGCCAGCCCCAUUCUGACUCCCUAUAUAACGGAGGGGUGGGAAGGACCUUCUAAACUGGGGAAUCGUGUGAGUCAGGGUUAGGAAUUCACAGCGUUUGAUGUGGGGGGUGAGAAGACGCCUCUGGAGCUCACGGUGCGUGCUGGGAAACAGUAAGAGUGACGGUGGAGACGGCAGAAGCCCUUUCGAGCUGGGCAGAAAAGCUGCAGUUACCUUCAGGACACAAGGAGGAUCUAACAUGAACGUGGGAGGGAAAAAAAAAGAUUCCCAAAGACAUUCCUAGUUUCCCAAAACAGAACCACUUAUUAUUUCAGUCUGCGUUAGUACCUUGGAAACCAGAGACAUUUGUUACAUCGCCCUUUACAAGCGCACUGAGCAACCGCUACGCCAGGACUGAUGUUGGAUUCUCUUUGUGAUGGUGAGUCCUGCUGACACACAUAAUGGGUUAGGUUGAUUCCGGUCAAUGACUGUGAAAUAGCAACUGUAACACUUGACUUAAGCCCUGCCACGAGCUCAAUUCUUAAACCUCUAAGGGAUACAUGUCCUUAGACAGAUAAACAUGUGGACGCUUGUGGAUACAUACACGUAUAGAUACACAGGUAUUGCCUUUAUAAUGGAAAGAACUGUUGUUACUAACUCUUUCAGUCAUUACGUAUGUAAGGUUGUGAAUUCACCCACUCAAAUACGCAAAUGUAAUGACUUUUUAAAUUAAGGCAGUCAAAAUGGAAAGGAUUUGUAUUUAUUAAGCAUCUAUUAUGGACGUGGUUUCAUGCCAAGGGUUUCAGAAUUGUUUCAUCAAUUAAAAUUUCACAGCAUUCUUUUUUUUUUUUUUUUUUUUUUUGGUCUUUUUAGGGCCACACACACAGCAAUAUGAAGUUCCCAGGCUAGGGGUGAAAUCGGAGCUGUAGCUGCCAGCCACACCACAGCCACGCCAGAUUCGAGCUGUGUCUGCAAACUACACCACAGCUCACGGCAAUGCCAGAUCCUUAACCCACUGAUAGAGGCCA